RNAcentral lists this ribosomal RNA (246 nucleotides) under uncultured bacterium. Its description in RNAcentral is "partial 16S ribosomal RNA". It matches the Rfam family "Bacterial small subunit ribosomal RNA", at positions 57 to 305 of the family's 1533-position model. The record is from RNAcentral.
GCAAGUCGAGCGGUAACAGGAAGUAGCUUGCUACUUUGCUGACGAGCGGCGGACGGGUGAGUAAUGCUUGGGAACAUGCCUUUAGGUGGGGGACAACAGUUGGAAACGACUGCUAAUACCGCAUAAUAGCUACGGCUUAAAGGGGGCUUCGGCUCUCGCCUUUAGAGAAGCCCAAGUGAGAUUAGCUAGUUGGUGAGGUAAUGGCUCACCAAGGCGACGAUCCCUAGCUGGUCUGAGAGGAUGAUC